GACGUAGGGCGCAAGCGUUGUCCGGAAUCAUUGGGCGUAAAGAGCGUGUAGGCGGCCCGGUAAGUCCGCUGUGAAAGUCCAGGGCUCAACCCUGGGAUGCCGGUGGAUACUGUCGGGCUCGAGUCCGGAAGAGGAGUGUGGAAUUCCUGGUGUAGCGGUGAAAUGCGCAGAUAUCAGGAGGAACACCAAUGGCGAAGGCAGCACUCUGGGCCUUACCUGACGCUGAGGAGCGAAAGCGUGGGGAGCGAACAGG
RNAcentral lists this ribosomal RNA (253 nucleotides) under uncultured bacterium. Its description in RNAcentral is "partial 16S ribosomal RNA". It matches the Rfam family "Bacterial small subunit ribosomal RNA", at positions 524 to 776 of the family's 1533-position model. The record is from RNAcentral.